This 73-nucleotide transfer RNA is filed under the name Bos taurus (domestic cattle). It matches the Rfam family "tRNA". Rfam says of the family: Transfer RNA (tRNA) molecules are approximately 80 nucleotides in length. Lineage: Eukaryota; Metazoa; Chordata; Mammalia; Artiodactyla; Bovidae. The record is from Rfam by way of RNAcentral. RNAcentral also lists the same sequence under 2 other names.
UCCCUGAUGGUCCAGUGGUGAGGACUCUGCUCUAUCACUGCUGAGGGUAUAAGUUUGAUCCCUGGUUGGGGAA